AAUCCAUAGGUUAAUGAGGCGAACCGGGGGAACUGAAACAUCUAAGUACCCCGAGGAAAAGAAAUCAACCGAGAUUCCCCCAGUAGCGGCGAGCGAACGGGGAGGAGCCCAGAGCCUGAAUCAGCAUGUGUGUUAGUGGAAGCGUCUGGAAAGGCGCGCGAUACAGGGUGACAGCCCCGUACACAAAAGCGCAUGUGCUGUGAGCUCGAUGAGUAGGGCGGGACACGUGGUAUCCUGUCUGAAUAUGGGGGGACCAUCCUCCAAGGCUAAAUACUCCUGACUGACCGAUAGUGAACCAGUACCGUGAGGGAAAGGCGAAAAGAACCCCGGCGAGGGGAGUGAAAAAGAACCUGAAACCGUGUACGUACAAGCAGUGGGAGCACAGGUUUACCUGUGUGACUGCGUACCUUUUGUAUAAUGGGUCAGCGACUUAUAUUCUGUAGCAAGGUUAACCGAAUAGGGGAGCCGUAGGGAAACCGAGUCUUAACCGGGCGUUAAGUUGCAGGGUAUAGACCCGAAACCCGGUGAUCUAGCCAUGGGCAGGUUGAAGGUUGGGUAACACUAACUGGAGGACCGAACCGACUAAUGUUGAAAAAUUAGC
This 601-nucleotide ribosomal RNA is filed under the name Salmonella enterica. RNAcentral's name for it is "partial 23S ribosomal RNA". It matches the Rfam family "Bacterial large subunit ribosomal RNA", at positions 161 to 801 of the family's 2925-position model. The record is from RNAcentral. Lineage: Bacteria; Pseudomonadati; Pseudomonadota; Gammaproteobacteria; Enterobacterales; Enterobacteriaceae.